Molecule: ribosomal RNA, 429 nt
Filed under: Gemmatimonadota bacterium
Lineage: Bacteria; Pseudomonadati; Gemmatimonadota
Description: Gemmatimonadetes bacterium partial 16S ribosomal RNA
Rfam family: Bacterial small subunit ribosomal RNA
Source: RNAcentral
UAGGGAAUCUUCGGCAAUGGACGAAAGUCUGACCGAGCAACGCCGCGUGAGUGAAGAAGGUUUUCGGAUCGUAAAACUCUGUUGUUAGAGAAGAACAAGGACGUUAGUAACUGAACGUCCCCUGACGGUAUCUAACCAGAAAGCCACGGCUAACUACGUGCCAGCAGCCGCGGUAAUACGUAGGUGGCAAGCGUUGUCCGGAUUUAUUGGGCGUAAAGCGAGCGCAGGCGGUUUCUUAAGUCUGAUGUGAAAGCCCCCGGCUCAACCGGGGAGGGUCAUUGGAAACUGGGAGACUUGGGUGCAGAAGAGGAGAGUGGAAUUCCAUGUGUAGCGGUGAAAUGCGUAGAUAUAUAGAGGGACACCAGUGGCGAAGGCGGCUCUCUGGUCUGUAACUGACGCUGAGGCUCGAAAGCGUGGGGAGCAAACAGG